AUCCAUCUUUCCUUUGUUCCCUGAACACAUUCAAAAUACUUCAGCUUGUUUACCAUCGAAUAAUCAUGCCUAAAGGGAAUAAAUCUGGUGUAAAACAAUGAUUUAUAAAGAAAAGUGGUAGUGGUAAGAAAAGAGAGGCUUUCAAAGGUAUCCCAAAGCACAGAAAGAUCGCGGAAAAUGCAUCGAAGAGACUUAGAUUGGAGAUCACGUUUGUUGGUGAGGAUGACGUGGUAAGCGAGCAAAUUCCGGAGCCUCGUGCCUCUGUUUCUUCGAGAAAGCUACAGGAAAGUGACAAUGAAAGUAGAUCUGAUGAGGAUAUUUCUCAUGAAAUGUCAGUGGCCAAGGGGUAUCGGCUUGUGCACAUGGAAAGUCUUCAAGAGUUUGUUGAGAGGGUUCACUCAGCCAGCCAAGAUUGUGCUUCAGGGGGAACAGCAACACCAAUGAGCACAGUUACCCCAUCCACAGAAACCCAGGAGGCCAUAUGUGUUACAAGAUGGAUCACCACACUUCUUACAGACGCCUGCACACAUAAACAGGUGUGACCAGCCAAAACAAAGAAACUUGUACAUAUAAACCACCAGUUACAGAAGCUACAACUUCAACUUCAGGCACCAAAAAUGAGGUAGUCAUUGGGGCUUCCAUUGGGGUUGCUGCAGCUGUAAUCCUGAUUGGAUGCAGUGUAUGUUGGUAUUGCAAUUGGUACUCCAAAAGACACAGAAGACAAAGUGAUGCCAAAAAGAUUGCUGAGCUAUCCACUGAAGAAGGAGCAGAGCUUGGGGAAAUUACCUCCCCUCUUUAAUGAUUUCAGCAUAUUAAUUUAUUAAUUAUACUAGCUAUUUUUAUACAAUUAUUUUUAGGUACUUCUCAGAAGUUAACAGGUUACUUUAAGUGCAUUUUGAAUAAGAUUGGGUGGAGAGAUUCUUCAAUGCUUUACUUAAAGUUAACUGUAACUAAGGGUAGACAGCUGCAAGGACUGCAAUACACUGCAGGAAUAUGUUGCAGCGACAAAUCUUGUGUAAAAGUGGAUGUGUCGAAAACGAAGACCAAGAAACGAAGACCUAAGACCCACUGGUCAAAAACGAAGACCCCCUGGUCUAAAACGAA
Stylophora pistillata is the source of this 1104-nucleotide unclassified non-coding RNA. Lineage: Eukaryota; Metazoa; Cnidaria; Anthozoa; Scleractinia; Pocilloporidae. The record is from RefSeq and is a predicted model, not a curated record.